AUCGCAAGGUUGAGGCCAUAGCAGAAGUGCUUACUGUGUAGCCCUGUCAGAUUCCAAUAAAAUCUGCAAAUUCUGCU
Molecule: ribozyme, 77 nt
Filed under: Crocodylus porosus (Australian saltwater crocodile)
Lineage: Eukaryota; Metazoa; Chordata; Crocodylia; Crocodylidae
Description: Mammalian CPEB3 ribozyme (ENSCPRG00005004977.1)
Rfam family: Mammalian CPEB3 ribozyme
About the family: The mammalian CPEB3 ribozyme is a self cleaving RNA located in the second intron of the CPEB3 gene which belongs to a family of genes regulating messenger RNA polyadenylation. This ribozyme is highly conserved and found only in mammals.
Source: Rfam by way of RNAcentral